GCGACCCCAGGUCAGGCGGGACUACCCGCUGAAUUUAAGCAUAUAAAUAAGCGGAGGA
RNAcentral lists this ribosomal RNA (58 nucleotides) under Catapodium rigidum. RNAcentral describes it as "partial 26S ribosomal RNA". It matches the Rfam family "Eukaryotic large subunit ribosomal RNA", at positions 1 to 57 of the family's 3401-position model. RNAcentral also lists the same sequence under 2 other names. The record is from RNAcentral. Lineage: Eukaryota; Viridiplantae; Streptophyta; Magnoliopsida; Poales; Poaceae.